AAUUGGACUGAUGGAGGACAGGUUAGACAGUGUAGAUGCCAUGCGUGCUGUCUGGUGAUUACAGACUUCAGAAGCUCGGGCUUUGCUUGUUGGCCAACAGGGUGCUAGUGGUCAGUGCUGUUAGUGAGAGCCUCUCUUCUGAGAUUGUCAUACCUGCCUACUUAGACAGCUUACGGCCUUUGAUUUUCAUUCAGGACUGAUUCAUUGAUCCUAUCAAAGUUUUACUGUUAUUACUCUCUUGCCCUUUUUACUUAAAUUCCAUCCUUUAAUAAAGUGAAUGAAGAAAAACAAGUUUAUACUAGCAAUUUCUGCUUCCAGUUCAUGACUGCGAGCUUCAUGUGAGCCCCUGAUACUGUUUAGAGAUCACGGCAUCUCCCUGCCUCUUCACCCUCACUUUCUGCCAGUACUUUCCUAUCUUCUCUGUAAGCAGGACUCUAUGCCUUUCUUCCGCCUUCCACCUUCUGGCGGUCCUGACACCGCACUUUCACCUUGUGUUCUCUUCUGUUCUCUUGUUCUCUGUUCUCUAAAGGAUGGAUUCAUGAGCCGUUUUGUAAUUGAAGAUAGUUUAUUUUUCCAUAUGGUGUAUUCUGAUCAGGGUCUCCCCUCCAUCAUCUGUUCCCAGAUUCUACCCUGCACCUACCCAUCCAAUGGUAAGCCUUCUUUUCUCUUUCUUUGGAAAACAUACAGACCAAUUUAAAAACAAAGACAGCAGCAACAACAACAAAACAAAAACCAAUAGAUCAAACAAACACAAAAUCAGAAAACAUACUAAAUAAAAGACAAAUAAAGGGUUUUUUGUUGUGGUUGUUUUGUUUUUAAAAAUGGCCUAAACAAAGCAUUAUGAGACCAAACAUCUCCAAAAACACUAGUUUUUUGUUGAUCAUGUACUGCUAGGCAUGGGGCCUCCCUUAAAGUAGUUUGUAUACCUAGUCAGAUUCUGCUGGAGAAAACUAAUUUUUCCUUUGCAGGCUGUCAGUUGUCUCAGGUUUGGGAUUAGGAAUGGGGACUUGUGUCCACAUCCCUCUCUUAGCACUGACCUAUGCAGGGCCUGUGCAUGCUGCCACAGUGUCUGAGUUCAUAUGUGUGUCAGUCUUGUGUCUGGAAGACACCGUUUCCUUAGUGUCUUCUAUCCCCAUUGAUCUUAACAAUAGUGCACUGUGUGCUGAGCAGAAGGCCAGCCUGAUGAAUCCCUGCCUGGAUUAUGGGUUAUAGUCAGUAUGUAGCUUUUUUGGGUUCACUGAUUUUUGUUCAUAAGCCCACAAAGUUUUCAAAACAUUUUAGUGGCUGCAAUUUGUUUAUGUGUCUCCCAUGGAGUCAUUGUCAUAGUGACUCAGAAUCAGUUCUUGUGAAUGAUGCACACAUGGUUUGACAGAGGUCAGAUUCUGGUCAAUGAUGUAUCCAUGGUUACACAGAGCCUGCCAUGUUCUGGAGGAACCUGGAGGUGGUAACUGCUGCAGGGCCCUGGGGGAGCACUACUUGAGCACUGGUUUGCUCUGGCACAUUCAUCCUGCCUUCUUACACCCAGGACCACCACCACAUGCCCGUCAGUAGGCUGGGCCUUCCCACAUCAGUGACUAAGUCAGAAAAUGCACUGCAGUCUUGCCCACAGGCAGAUCUUAUGGACUUAUGGAGGCUUUCUCUCUCUCUCUCUCUCUCUCUCUCUCUCUCUCUUUGGUUUUUUUGAGACAGGGUUUCUCUGUAUAGCCCCAGCUAUCCUGGAACUCACUCUGUAGACCAGGCUGGCCUCGAACUCAGAAAUCCACCUGCCUCUCGCCUCUGCCUCUCGCCUCUGCCUCUCGCCUCUGCCUCUGCCUCUGCCUCUGCCGCCUCUGCCUCCUCUGCCUCCCGAGUGCUGGGAUUAAAGGCAUGCACCACCACAACUGGCUGGCAUUUUCUUAAUUGAGGGUCUGUCUUCCCAUGUAACUGUAGUGUGCAGAGUUGACAAUAAACUAGUCAGCACUGAGGCGGGAUGUAGGGAGGAACUCAAGGAAGGCAGGAGCCUGGAAACAGGAGCUAAAGCAGAAGGCAUGGAGGAGUGCUGCUGCUGACUGGCUCUCCAUGGCUUGCUCAGCCGACUUUUCUACACAACCCAGGACCACGUCCUGGGGAUGGCACCACACAGGAAGCUGAGCCGUCCCACAUCAGCCAUUAACCAAUACAAUCUCCCACAGACUUCCUACAGACCAGCCUGAUGGAGGCAUUUUCUUCCCACAGAAAUCUAGCUUUGUGUCAAGUUGACGAAAACCAACCAGCAAAAACCAUUUAUCAACACACAUUGAACCAUAAAUCCCUUUGUGCCAAACCCUGUGUUAAGCCCUGAAGCUGAAGCAAUGAAUUAAACAUUACUUACUCUC
RNAcentral lists this long non-coding RNA (2354 nucleotides) under Mus musculus (house mouse). RNAcentral's name for it is "long non-coding RNA chr13:59603308-59605662". The record is from RNAcentral. Lineage: Eukaryota; Metazoa; Chordata; Mammalia; Rodentia; Muridae.